AUUGAACGCUGGCGGAAUGCUUUACACAUGCAAGUCGAACGGCAGCACGGACUUCGGUCUGGUGGCGAGUGGCGAACGGGUGAGUAAUGUAUCGGAACGUGCCGAGUCGUGGGGGAUAACGUAGUGAAAAUUACGCUAAUACCGCAUACGAUCUAUGGAUGAAAGCGGGGGAUCGCAAGACCUCGCGCGAUUGGAGCGGCCGAUAACAGAUUAGGUAGUUGGUGGGGUAAAGGCCCACCAAGCCAACGAUCUGUAGCUGGUCUGAGAGGACGACCAGCCACACUGGAACUGAGACGCGGUCCAGACUCCUACGGGAGGCAGCAGUGGGGAAUUUUGGACAAUGGGCGAAAGCCUGAUCCAGCCAUUCCGCGUGCAGGAUGAAAGCCCUCGGGUUGUAAACUUCUUUUGUACAGAGCGAAAAGGUUUCUACUAAUACUAGGAGCUCAUGACGGUACUGUAAGAAUAAGCACCGGCUAACUACGUGCCAGCCGCCGCUGUAA
This 500-nucleotide ribosomal RNA is filed under the name uncultured bacterium. RNAcentral's name for it is "partial 16S ribosomal RNA". It matches the Rfam family "Bacterial small subunit ribosomal RNA", at positions 30 to 523 of the family's 1533-position model. The record is from RNAcentral.